This 88-nucleotide transfer RNA is filed under the name Erysipelothrix sp. Its description in RNAcentral is "tRNA-Ser". It matches the Rfam family "tRNA". Rfam says of the family: Transfer RNA (tRNA) molecules are approximately 80 nucleotides in length. The record is from RNAcentral. Lineage: Bacteria; Bacillati; Bacillota; Erysipelotrichia; Erysipelotrichales; Erysipelotrichaceae.
GGAGGAUUGGCCGAGUGGCUUAAGGCACCGUCUUGGAAAGGCGGCGAAGUGCAAGCUUCCGUGAGUUCGAAUCUCAUGUCCUCCGCCA